AACGAACGCUGGCGGCAUGCUUAACACAUGCAAGUCGAACGAGACGUUCGGGUCUUGUGGCGCACGGGUGCGUAACGCGUGGGAAGCUGCACUUGGGUUAGGAACAACUCCCUGAGAGGGGUGCUAAUACCGGAUAAUGUAUUCGGACCAAAGAUUUAUUGCUUUUGGGUGGGGGCGGGUUAGUUUAGCUGGUUGGUAGGGUAAAAGCCUACCAAGGGGACGUUGCAUAGCUGGUGUGUGAGGAUGACCUGGCACACUGGGACUGAGACCCGGCCCAGACCCGUACGCAAGGCAGCAGUAUAGAAUAUUAUACAAUGAGCGAGAGCCUAAUCACGCAGUGCCGCGUAAGUCAGGAAGGCCGUAGGAUAGUAAAUCUCUUUUACACGAAAUGUUAGUGACGGUACCGGGAAAAUAAGCUCCGGCUAACUCCGUG
Molecule: ribosomal RNA, 433 nt
Filed under: uncultured bacterium
Lineage: Bacteria
Description: partial 16S ribosomal RNA
Rfam family: Bacterial small subunit ribosomal RNA
Source: RNAcentral